ACACAUGCAAUGAUGAAGAAAAGUAAGCUGUCGAAACAAUUCAGAGAGCUGAUGGCCGGUGAGAAUCAGUGUGGGAAGGCAGACGAAUGGGCUUCUGAGCAUCCAGGCUGAAGUGGAAAGUAGGCUAUGGCGGAGAGUCUCACCGAUAAAAGAGGCAAUGUAUCGAGGUAUGUCCCUCUGUACAGGAAAGUGCGUUUGCUUUAUGUAAACGAAUGAAGGUGGCACCACGGGUUUCCCGUCCUUUUU
RNAcentral lists this non-coding RNA (246 nucleotides) under [Bacillus] enclensis. RNAcentral describes it as "Bacillus enclensis T-box sequence". It matches the Rfam family "T-box leader". Rfam says of the family: Uncharged tRNA acts as the effector for transcription antitermination of genes in the T-box leader family. Lineage: Bacteria; Bacillati; Bacillota; Bacilli; Caryophanales; Bacillaceae. The record is from RNAcentral.